UACGAAGGGGGCUAGCGUUGUUCGGAAUUACUGGGCGUAAAGCGUGCGCAGGCGGCUUCUCAAGUCAGGGGUGAAAGCCCAGAGCUCAACUCUGGAAUUGCCUUUGAGACUGAGUGGCUUGAGUACGAGAGAGGUGAGUGGAAUUCCCAGUGUAGAGGUGAAAUUCGUAGAUAUUGGGAAGAACACCGGUGGCGAAGGCGGCUCACUGGCUCGUAACUGACGCUGAGGAGCGAAAGCAUGGGGAGCGAACAGG
RNAcentral lists this ribosomal RNA (253 nucleotides) under uncultured bacterium. RNAcentral's name for it is "partial 16S ribosomal RNA". It matches the Rfam family "Bacterial small subunit ribosomal RNA", at positions 524 to 776 of the family's 1533-position model. The record is from RNAcentral.